Molecule: small RNA, 78 nt
Filed under: bovine gut metagenome
Description: GA-cis RNA
Rfam family: GA-cis RNA
Source: RNAcentral
GAGGAGCGGCUUCGUGCGAAGCUCGACUGGAAUGCCGCGACGACCUGCCGCCGAACGGAUGUGAGGGGGCGAUACCAG